Molecule: ribosomal RNA, 833 nt
Filed under: Capitotricha rubi
Lineage: Eukaryota; Fungi; Ascomycota; Leotiomycetes; Helotiales; Lachnaceae
Description: partial large subunit ribosomal RNA
Rfam family: Eukaryotic large subunit ribosomal RNA
Source: RNAcentral
ACCUCAGUAACGGCGAGUGAAGCGGUAACAGCUCAAAUUUGAAAUCUGGCUCUUUCAGGGUCCGAGUUGUAAUUUGUAGAAGAUGCUUUGGGUGUGGCACCGGUCUAAGUUCCUUGGAACAGGACGUCAUAGAGGGUGAGAAUCCCGUAUGUGACUGGUUGCUUUCGCCCGUGUAAAGCUCUUUCGACGAGUCGAGUUGUUUGGGAAUGCAGCUCAAAAUGGGUGGUAAAUUUCAUCUAAAGCUAAAUAUUGGCCAGAGACCGAUAGCGCACAAGUAGAGUGAUCGAAAGAUGAAAAGCACUUUGGAAAGAGAGUUAAACAGUACGUGAAAUUGUUGAAAGGGAAGCGCUUGCAACCAGACUCGCAUUCCGUCGAUCAUCCGGAGUUCUCUCUGGUGCACUCGGCGGUAUUCGGGCCAGCAUCGGUUUGGGUGGUGGGAUAAAGGCCUUGGGAAUGUAGCUUCUUUCGGGGAGUGUUAUAGCCCUCGGUGCAAUGCCGCCUACCUGGACCGAGGACCGCGCUUCGGCUAGGAUGCUGGCGUAAUGGUUGUAAGCGACCCGUCUUGAAACACGGACCAAGGAGUCUAACAUCUAUGCGAGUAUUUGGGUGUUAAACCCAUAUGCGUAAUGAAAGUGAACGGAGGUGAGAACCCUUAAGGGUGCAUCAUCGACCGAUCCUGAUGUCUUCGGAUGGAUUUGAGUAAGAGCAUAGCUGUUGGGACCCGAAAGAUGGUGAACUAUGCCUAAAUAGGGUGAAGCCAGAGGAAACUCUGGUGGAGGCUCGCAGCGGUUCUGACGUGCAAAUCGAUCGUCAAAUUUGGGUAUAGGGGCGAA